This 497-nucleotide ribosomal RNA is filed under the name uncultured bacterium. RNAcentral describes it as "partial 16S ribosomal RNA". It matches the Rfam family "Bacterial small subunit ribosomal RNA", at positions 28 to 507 of the family's 1533-position model. The record is from RNAcentral.
GAUGAACGCUGGCGGCGUGCCUAAUACAUGCAAGUCGAGCGAACAGACGAGGAGCUUGCUCCUCUGACGUUAGCGGCGGACGGGUGAGUAACACGUGGAUCACCUACCUAUAAGACUGGGAUAACUUCGGGAAACCGGAGCUAAUACCGGAUAAUAUAUUCAACCGCAUGGUUCAAUAGUGAUAGCCGGUUUUGAUGUCAAUUCUAGAUGGAUCCGCGCCGCAUUAGCUAGUUGGUAAGGUAACGGCUUACCAAGGCAACGAUGCGUAGCCGAGCUGAGAGGAGGAUCUGCCACACUAGAACUGUGCCACGGUCCAGGCUACUACGGGAGGCAGCAGUAGGGAAUCUUCCGCAAUGGGCGAAAGCCUGACGGAGCAACGCCGCGUGAGUGAUGAAGGGCUGCGGAUCGGAAAUCUCUGUUAUUAGUGAAGAACAAAUGUGUAAGUAACUAGGCACGUCUUGACGGUACCGAAUCAGAAAGCCACGGCUAACUACGUG